Angiostrongylus cantonensis (rat lungworm) is the source of this 72-nucleotide non-coding RNA. The record is from Rfam. NCBI's taxonomy places the organism in Eukaryota, Metazoa, Nematoda, Chromadorea, Rhabditida, Metastrongylidae.
GCCUCGUUAGCUCAGUUGGUAGAGCGUUAGACUUUUAAUCUAACGGUCAUGGUUCGAGUCCCGUACGGGGCU